UACGUAGGGACCGAGCGUUGUCCGGAAUCAUUGGGCGUAAAGAGCGUGUAGGCGGCCACUUAAGUCCUGCGUGAAAUCUUGCGGCUCAACCGCAAGCGGUCGUGGGAAACUGGGUGGCUAGAGUGCGGGAGAGGAGAGUGGAAUUCCUGGUGUAGCGGUGGAAUGCGCAGAUAUCAGGAAGAACACCCGUGGCGAAGGCGGCUCCCUGGAACGCAACUGACGCUGAGACGCGAAAGCGUGGGGAGCAAACAGG
This 253-nucleotide ribosomal RNA is filed under the name uncultured bacterium. RNAcentral's name for it is "partial 16S ribosomal RNA". It matches the Rfam family "Bacterial small subunit ribosomal RNA", at positions 524 to 776 of the family's 1533-position model. The record is from RNAcentral.